RNAcentral lists this ribosomal RNA (574 nucleotides) under Phomopsis sp. shj2. RNAcentral describes it as "eukaryotic LSU rRNA". The stretch from base 217 to 370 matches the Rfam family "5.8S ribosomal RNA". The record is from RNAcentral. Lineage: Eukaryota; Fungi; Ascomycota; Sordariomycetes; Diaporthales; Diaporthaceae.
CGUAACAAGGUCUCCGUUGGUGAACCAGCGGAGGGAUCAUUGCUGGAACGCGCCCCUGGCGCACCCAGAAACCCUUUGUGAACUUAUACCUUACUGUUGCCUCGGCGCAGGCCGUCCCCCAUGGGGUCCCUCUGGAGACGGAGGAGCAGCCGGCCGGUGGCCAAAUUAACUCUGUUUUUACACUGAAACUCUGAGUACAAAACAUAAAUGAAUCAAAACUUUCAACAACGGAUCUCUUGGUUCUGGCAUCGAUGAAGAACGCAGCGAAAUGCGAUAAGUAAUGUGAAUUGCAGAAUUCAGUGAAUCAUCGAAUCUUUGAACGCACAUUGCGCCCUCUGGUAUUCCGGAGGGCAUGCCUGUUCGAGCGUCAUUUCAACCCUCAAGCCUGGCUUGGUGUUGGGGCACUGCCUGUGAAAGGGCAGGCCCUGAAAUAUAGUGGCGAGCUCGCCAGGACUCCGAGCGUAGUAGUUAAACCCUCGCUUUGGAAGGCCUGGCGGUGCCCUGCCGUUAAACCCCAACUUUUGAAAAUUUGACCUCGGAUCAGGUAGGAAUACCCGCUGAACUUAAGCAUAUC